This is a non-coding RNA of Gasterosteus aculeatus (three-spined stickleback), 55 nucleotides long. Lineage: Eukaryota; Metazoa; Chordata; Actinopteri; Perciformes; Gasterosteidae. The record is from Rfam.
UGAAUGCACUUCUUGUAAGUCGCUUUGGAUAAAAGCGUCAGCUAAAUGACAUGUA